Molecule: ribosomal RNA, 117 nt
Filed under: Heyndrickxia vini
Lineage: Bacteria; Bacillati; Bacillota; Bacilli; Caryophanales; Bacillaceae
Source: RNAcentral
UCCGGUAAUUAUUGCGAGAAGGUCACACCCGUUCCCAUCCCGAACACGGAAGUUAAGCUUCUCAGCGCCGAUGGUAGUUGGAGGCUCUCCUCCUGCAAGAGUAGGACGUUGCCGGGU